This 1478-nucleotide ribosomal RNA is filed under the name uncultured bacterium. Its description in RNAcentral is "bacterial SSU rRNA". It matches the Rfam family "Bacterial small subunit ribosomal RNA". The record is from RNAcentral.
GAGUUUGAUCCUGGCUCAGGAUGAACGCUAGCGGCAGGCCUAACACAUGCAAGUCGAGGGGUAGAGUUAGCUUGCUAACUUGAGACCGGCGCACGGGUGCGUAACGCGUAUGCAAUCUACCUUAUACAAAGGGAUAGCCCAGAGAAAUUUGGAUUAAUACCUUAUAGUAUGUUUGAAUGGCAUCAUUUAAACAUUAAAGUUCCAACGGUAUAAGAUGAGCAUGCGUCCCAUUAGUUAGUUGGUAAGGUAACGGCUUACCAAGACAAUGAUGGGUAGGGGUCCUGAGAGGGAGAUCCCCCACACUGGUACUGAGACACGGACCAGACUCCUACGGGAGGCAGCAGUGAGGAAUAUUGGUCAAUGGGCGCAAGCCUGAACCAGCCAUGCCGCGUGCAGGAUGACGGUCCUAUGGAUUGUAAACUGCUUUUAUACAGGAAGAAACACUCCCUCGUGAGGGAGCUUGACGGUACUGUAGGAAUAAGGAUCGGCUAACUCCGUGCCAGCAGCCGCGGUAAUACGGAGGAUCCAAGCCGUUAUCCGGAAUCAUUGGGUUUAAAGGGUCCGUAGGCGGUUUAAUAAGUCAGUGGUGAAAGCCUAUCGCUUAACGAUAGAACGGCCAUUGAUACUGUUAGACUUGAAUUAGUGGGAAGUAACUAGAAUAUGUAGUGUAGCGGUGAAAUGCUUAGAUAUUACAUGGAAUACCUAUUGCGAAAGGCAGGUUACUAUCACUAUAUUGACGCUGAUGGACGAAAGCGUGGGGAGCGAACAGGAUUAGAUACCCUGGUAGUCCACGCCGUAAACGAUGGAUACUAGCUGUUCGGAGCAAUCUGAGUGGCUAAGCGAAAGUGAUAAGUAUCCCGCCUGGGGAGUACGUUCGCAAGAAUGAAACUCAAAGGAAUUGACGGGGGCCCGCACAAGCGGAGGAGCACGUGGUUUAAUUCGAUGAUACGCGAGGAACCUUACCAGGGCUUAAAUGGGAGACGACAGUUUGGGAAACCAGAUUUUCUUCGGACGUCUUUCAAGGUGCUGCAUGGUUGUCGUCAGCUCGUGCCGUGAGGUGUCAGGUUAAGUCCUAUAACGAGCGCAACCCCUAUCGUUAGUUGCCAGCGGGUCAUGCCGGGAACUCUAACGAGACUGCCAGUGCAAACUGUGAGGAAGGUGGGGAUGACGUCAAAUCAUCACGGCCCUUACGUCCUGGGCUACACACGUGCUACAAUGGGCGGUACAGAGAGCAGCCACUACGCAAGUAGGCGCGAAUCUUCAAAACCGUUCUCAGUUCGGAUCGGAGUCUGCAACUCGACUCCGUGAAGCUGGAUUCGCUAGUAAUCGCAUAUCAGCCAUGAUGCGGUGAAUACGCUCCCGGGCCUUGUACACGCCGCCCGUCAAGCCAUGGAAGCUGGGGGUACCUGAAGUCGGUGACCGCAAGGAGCUGCCUAGGGUAAAACUGGUAACUGGGGCUAAGUCGUAACAAGGUAACC